GCCCUCCCUGUUUGGAGGAAAACCGCUACUUUCCAUCCAGACUGGGGAAAGGCCGGACCGGGACAAGACCACCGGCACGUACACUAAGUCUCUGCGGGCAGGAGGAGGUCCAGAGCGGCAGGGAGGAAGUUCGUUUCCUCGCAGACCCUCAGCCUCAUGUCCACCAGGGGGCGUUCAUGCAAAAGGACUGAGGAGUGAUGGUCACAUGGAUCCUCCAGGACGGUUACGGGACUUGGGUUCGGGAUGAGGACCAGUAGAGCAGCUUCAGCAUGACCACAUGGAGAAGACAUAGAAAGUCAGCGGUGUCUCCUCAGGGAGAGCUGACGGCGGGGUGUGUGCUGCUCCUUCUCCAUGGAGAUGGGUCCAUCCGCAGACUUCCGCCUCUCAUUCGAGGGUCUCCUCCCCUGACAUGCCGCUGCUUCCCCGCUGCUGCCAGGCCGACUCUGCUCUGACCUACGGGCUGUCUUCCAACAAAUGGAGACAUCGAUAUGAGUAAGUUUCCUCAGAGCAGGCGAGAGCUGUUAGAGGGCUUCAUGCUGUCUCAGAGAGAGCUUUCAGGUGCAGGCAGACUGAUUUCACUUCAAAGCAUGCACAUCCAGGAACGAGCUGCUUUCAUGCACCGUGGAUUUCAUGACUGACAUGCUGGGAGUGGAGUGAACAAGUGGAGGCUCCUCUGGGCAGUAUGAGCACAGAGAGGAAGGAGAGGCAUGCAUGCAAACCUGACUAAUUAAAGGAUUAAUUACCUCUUUGUGCAAACGGUGUGUACAGUGCAGCUCGUGAACUCCUCCUCCACUCAUCCUCACGUCUUCGUGACAGA
This is a long non-coding RNA of Notolabrus celidotus (New Zealand spotty), 817 nucleotides long. RefSeq lists it as uncharacterized. NCBI's taxonomy places the organism in Eukaryota, Metazoa, Chordata, Actinopteri, Labriformes, Labridae. The record is from RefSeq and is a predicted model, not a curated record. The transcript has 3 exons.